GAUGAACGCUGGCGGCGUGCCUAAUACAUGCAAGUCGAGCGAACGGACGAGAAGCUUGCUUCUCUGAUGUUAGCGGCGGACGGGUGAGUAACACGUGGAUAACCUACCUAUAAGACUGGGAUAACUUCGGGAAACCGGAGCUAAUACCGGAUAAUAUUUUGAACCGCAUGGUUCAAAAGUGAAAGACGGUCUUGCUGUCACUUAUAGAUGGAUCCGCGCUGCAUUAGCUAGUUGGUAAGGUAACGGCUUACCAAGGCAACGAUGCAUAGCCGACCUGAGAGGGUGAUCGGCCACACUGGAACUGAGACACGGUCCAGACUCUUACGGGAGGCAGCAGUAGGGAAUCUUCCGCAAAGGGCGAAAGCCUGACGGAGCAACGCCGCGUGAGUGAUGAAGGUCUUCGGAUCGUAAAACUCUGUUAUUAGGGAAGAACAUAUGUGUAAGUAACUGUGCACAUCUUGACGGUACCUAAUCAGAAAGCCACGGCUAACUACGUG
This 497-nucleotide ribosomal RNA is filed under the name uncultured bacterium. Its description in RNAcentral is "partial 16S ribosomal RNA". It matches the Rfam family "Bacterial small subunit ribosomal RNA", at positions 28 to 507 of the family's 1533-position model. The record is from RNAcentral.